Non-coding RNA from Peromyscus maniculatus bairdii (prairie deer mouse), 181 nucleotides. The record is from RefSeq and is a predicted model, not a curated record. NCBI's taxonomy places the organism in Eukaryota, Metazoa, Chordata, Mammalia, Rodentia, Cricetidae.
GUCACUAACAAUGAUAUUCCAUUUCAUGAUAUGGGGCAGGUGUUGCUGGAGAGCGUCUCUCCAGGUUCUACCAAGCCCCGCAGUCCCACAAUCCAUGUAUAAAAUAAUCACUCAGACGCUUAUAUCACUUAUAAACUGUAUGACCGUGGCAGGCUCCUUGCCAACUGUUCUUAUAUCUUAA